CGGCUCCUACGGGAGACAGCAGUGAGGAAUAUUGGUCAAUGGUCGGGAGACUGAACCAGCCAAGCCGCGUGAGGGAGGAAGGUACAGAGUAUCGUAAACCUCUUUUGUCAGGGAACAAAGGCGGGGACGUGUCCCCGGACGAGUGUACCUGAAGAAAAAGCAUCGGCUAACUCCGUGCCAGCAGCCGCGGUAAUACGGAGGAUGCGAGCGUUAUCCGGAUUUAUUGGGUUUAAA
This 234-nucleotide ribosomal RNA is filed under the name uncultured bacterium. Its description in RNAcentral is "partial 16S ribosomal RNA". It matches the Rfam family "Bacterial small subunit ribosomal RNA", at positions 333 to 564 of the family's 1533-position model. The record is from RNAcentral.